GCCUUUCCUGUCAAGAGGUGAAGUCUAUUUCUCCUCCCCUCGAAUCCAACUGGCCCAGUGAGAGAAUGCAGUGGGAGUACCAGAGAGCCAGUUCCCAGCCUGGACCUCAAGAAGCUUCACGUGCUUCCACUUGCACCACUGGAACCCUGCCCACCCUUUGUGUGAACAAGCCUGGUCUAGCCUGCUGGAGGGUGAAAGACCACAUGACGUGUGGAAGAGCCAGGCCAGCUGGGGCCACUUAGGCCAGCCAGCCCCUAGCCAACCCAGUAACUAACCACAGCUGCACGAAUGAGCUCAGCCAAGACCAGAUGGAUUGCCCAGUCCAGCCCAGUCCAGUUCAAAUUGCUGAUUCACAGACCUGUAAUUUCAGCUUUCUACUUGCUGUCUUCAUCACAUCAACAGUGUCUUCCCUCAUGAUUGAAAGAAGCUCAUUAAUUUGAAGGAUCACAGGUUCGAAAACUUGCUAUAGUGCUCACAACCACAACCUAAAGCGUUAAUGACAGAGACUGAAAUCUGUGUGCCUCCACAUCCUCAAUGUCUGAAAUCGCACUGGACCACAGCAGGCCAACUUUGCCAAGGCGCCCACCAUCUCUGCUGCCAGUGCCCUCUUGAGGAAGGUCCCCACCGUGCCUAGCACCGAAUCCACUUGGGAGUCUCCUCUACCCAGCACCAGAGCGGCUCUGGACGAGUGAGGGAAGGAAGGCGAGCCGCUCUGUUUCUGCUCGAGACUUCAGUGACCACAGCGCUCCAGGGCUUGGGUCUACGCUUUCGGAUUUUAUGGUUUAUGGACAAAGCCUUAGGCUGGUGGGAGAGUAGAGAACUCGCCUCCUCUCUCUGCUAUCUUUCUUCCCCUUCUUUUUCCAAGUGCUCAUGCGAAAUAACACCCCUUCCUGUACUUGUAAGAUCCAAACUUAAGUUCCUUCCACAUCCCUUCCAUGCAUUUAGUCCCCUCCCUUCACCUACACGACGCCUUGGUCAAUUCGUCAUGCUCGACAGGGCUUGGCUUUGAAAAAUACGAAUUUUAAUAAAAUAAUGUACAUCCUUCAAAAGGGAAUAUGUUGUCUUCAGCAUCCUUUAAUGAUCUGGUUGUAGCUGAAGGACGCCUAUCAGAUGUAAGCAGGGGAACUCAGAGAUAGUGCUGUCUGAAGUGACUGAUGUUUGGUGGCCCCCUCUGAAUCAGGAAGAACAGUCGUC
This 1194-nucleotide long non-coding RNA is filed under the name Equus asinus (donkey). RNAcentral's name for it is "lncRNA (ENSEASG00005031600.1)". Lineage: Eukaryota; Metazoa; Chordata; Mammalia; Perissodactyla; Equidae. The record is from RNAcentral.